UGAGCCUAUGCAAAUAAAACACCAAGUACUGUGGACAAAAACUUACAAACAGGUACAAAAAUCCUCUUUUGCAACCUAGAACUCACUGUUCAGUAUGAGUUUUGAUACAGAUAAGAAGGAACAUG
This 125-nucleotide small nucleolar RNA is filed under the name Catagonus wagneri (Chacoan peccary). RNAcentral's name for it is "Small nucleolar RNA SNORA40 (ENSCWAG00000001110.1)". It matches the Rfam family "Small nucleolar RNA SNORA40", at positions 22 to 128 of the family's 128-position model. From Rfam's summary of the family: The snoRNA ACA 40 belongs to the H/ACA family of snoRNAs and guides the pseudouridylation of 28S rRNA subunit at position U4565. NB This family has a high threshold value to exclude a large number of closely related sequences that do not appear to have conserved H and ACA boxes, and may be pseudogenes. Lineage: Eukaryota; Metazoa; Chordata; Mammalia; Artiodactyla; Tayassuidae. The record is from Rfam by way of RNAcentral.